Molecule: ribosomal RNA, 1338 nt
Filed under: uncultured bacterium
Lineage: Bacteria
Description: bacterial SSU rRNA
Rfam family: Bacterial small subunit ribosomal RNA
Source: RNAcentral
GACGAACUCUGGCGGCGUGCUUAACACAUGCAAGUCGAACGGUAAGGCUCCAGCUUGCUGGGGUACACGAGUGGCGAACGGGUGAGUAACACGUGGGUGACCUGCCCUGCACUUCGGGAUAAGCCUGGGAAACUGGGUCUAAUACCGGAUAGGACCGCACCGUGAGGGUGUGGUGGAAAGUUUUUUCGGUGUGGGAUGGGCCCGCGGCCUAUCAGCUUGUUGGUGGGGUAAUGGCCUACCAAGGCGGCGACGGGUAGCCGGCCUGAGAGGGUGGACGGCCACAUUGGGACUGAGACACGGCCCAGACUCCUACGGGAGGCAGCAGUGGGGAAUAUUGCACAAUGGGCGGAAGCCUGAUGCAGCGACGCCGCGUGGGGGAUGACGGCCUUCGGGUUGUAAACUCCUUUCACCAUCGACGAAGGGUUUCUGACGGUAGAUGGAGAAGAAGCACCGGCUAACUACGUGCCAGCAGCCGCGGUAAUACGUAGGGUGCGAGCGUUGUCCGGAAUUACUGGGCGUAAAGAGCUCGUAGGUGGUUUGUCGCGUCGUCUGUGAAAUUCCGGGGCUUAACUCCGGGCGUGCAGGCGAUACGGGCAUAACUUGAGUACUGUAGGGGAGACUGGAAUUCCUGGUGUAGCGGUGAAAUGCGCAGAUAUCAGGAGGAACACCGGUGGCGAAGGCGGGUCUCUGGGCAGUAACUGACGCUGAGGAGCGAAAGCAUGGGGAGCGAACAGGAUUAGAUACCCUGGUAGUCCAUGCCGUAAACGGUGGGCGCUAGGUGUGGGUUUCCUUCCACGGGAUCCGUGCCGUAGCUAACGCAUUAAGCGCCCCGCCUGGGGAGUACGGCCGCAAGGCUAAAACUCAAAGGAAUUGACGGGGGCCCGCACAAGCGGCGGAGCAUGUGGAUUAAUUCGAUGCAACGCGAAGAACCUUACCUGGGCUUGACAUAUACAGGAUCGCGCCAGAGAUGGUGUUUCCCUUGUGGCUUGUAUACAGGUGGUGCAUGGUUGUCGUCAGCUCGUGUCGUGAGAUGUUGGGUUAAGUCCCGCAACGAGCGCAACCCUUAAGCUUAGUUGCCAUCAUUAAGUUGGGCACUCUAAGUUGACUGCCGGUGACAAACCGGAGGAAGGUGGGGAUGACGUCAAAUCAUCAUGCCCCUUAUGAUUUGGGCUACACACGUGCUACAAUGGACAAUACAAAGGGCAGCGAAACCGCGAGGUCAAGCAAAUCCCAUAAAGUUGUUCUCAGUUCGGAUUGUAGUCUGCAACUCGACUACAUGAAGCUGGAAUCGCUAGUAAUCGUAGAUCAGCAUGCUACGGUGAAUACGUUCCCGGGUCU